CUUACCAGGGGCCGCCACCUCUGUCGGAGUGAGGAGGCACGAGGGCCUCAGCAGGCUUCAGCCGGGUCUGCACCCCGAAUGCAGCAUUUGGGAUAUUUGCAGUGAAUACAGAAGGAUCCAUCCCCCAUUCCUGUGAGUUCACGGGCAGACAUCCCCAUGCCUGGUCCCCGUCGCCCCACCGUUGAAGGACGUGCCCUGCUACAGAAGUCCUGCUGGGAAAACCCACUUCAAAUGCUUGAAACCUGGAGUCCCUGGGCACAGAGGUGACCAGGCUCCAUGACCCCUGAGCCAAGAUCCCUCUGCUCUGCGUGGAUUGGGACAAGCAGGAAAUGUCAUUAGGCC
Molecule: long non-coding RNA, 342 nt
Filed under: Sus scrofa (pig)
Lineage: Eukaryota; Metazoa; Chordata; Mammalia; Artiodactyla; Suidae
Description: lncRNA (ENSSSCG00060027662.1)
Source: RNAcentral